RNA transcript from Homo sapiens (human), 2608 nucleotides. It is a transcript of the gene named zinc finger protein 876, pseudogene, with no coding region annotated. The transcript is spliced from 2 exons. NCBI's taxonomy places the organism in Eukaryota, Metazoa, Chordata, Mammalia, Primates, Hominidae. The record is from RefSeq and is marked validated.
AUCUGGCGCCGCUUUUGCGUCAGGCUUCUGCCUGAGCUCGGUUAGGGCCUCACCGACCUGCUUCCACCCCUCAGGGAGGCCUCAGUGAUUCGGCCACAGCCUCAGCCUCCGUCGCUCUGUGACCUGCGGGUAUUGGAUGAUUCGUAGCUAAGACUCUACGACAUCCCUGAAGCCGGGAAAUGGUGUGUGUUCUCAUUUUACCCAAGAUCUUUGGCCAGUGCAGGGCAUAGAAGAUUCAUUCCACAAACUUAUACUGAGAAGAUAUGAGAAAUGUGGACAGAAGAAUUUACAAUUAAGGAAAGGCUCUAAAAGUGUGAAUAAGUGUAAGGUGCAGAAAGGAGGUUAUAAUGGACUUUACCAAUGCUUAUCAACUACCCAGAGCAAAAUAAUUCAGUGUAAUACAUCUGUCAAAGUUUUUCAUAAAUUUUCAAAUUCAAACAACAUAAGACAUACUGGAGAGAAAUCAUUUAAAUGUAAAAAAUGUGGCAGAUCAUUUCGCAAGUUCCUCCAACUAACUUAACAUAAGGGAAUACAUGCUGGAGAGAUACCCUACAAAUAAAUGUGAAGAAUGUGGCAAAGCCUUUAAUAGGUCCACAAGCAUUACUAAAUAUAAGAAAAUUCAUGCUGGAGAGAAACCCCUCAUGUGAAGAACGUGUCAGAAUCUUUACCUCAUCCUCAAGCUUUGACAAACAUAAGAGAAUUCAUACUGGAGAGAAACCCUACACGUGAAGAAUGUGGCAAAGCCUUGAGACAAUCCACAGUUCUGAAUGAACAUAAGAAAAUUCAUACUGGAAAGAAACCCUACAAAUGUGAAGAAUGUGGCAAAGCUUUUAGACAGUCCAGAAGCCUGAAUGAACAUAAGAAUAUGCAUACUGGAGAGAAACCCUACACGUGUGAAGAAUGUGUCAAGCUUUUAACCAAUCCUCAAGCCUUAUUAUACACAGGAGCAUUCAUUCUGAACAAAAACUUUACAAAUGUGAAGAAUGCAGCAAAGCCUUUACUCAAUCCUCAUCCCUUAAUAAACAAGAGAAUUCAUACUGGUGAGAAACCCUACACAUGUGAAGAAUGUGGCAAAGCCUUUUAUAGGUCCUCACACCUUACUGAACAUAAGAAUAUUCAUACUGGAGAGAAAUCCUACAAAUGUGAAGAAUGUGGCAACGCCUUUUAUAGAUCUUCACACCUUACUAAACAUAAGAGAAUUCAUUCUGGGCAAAAACCCUACAAAUGUGAAGAAUGUGGCAAAGCCUUUAGACAGUCCUCUGCACUGAAUGAACAUAAGAAAAUUCAUACUGCAGAGAAACCCUACAAAUGUAAAGAAUGUGGCAAAGCCUUUAGAUGGUCCAGAAGCCUGAAUGAACAUACGAAUAUUCAUAUUGGAGAGAAACCCUACACAUGUGAAGAAUGUGGCAAAGAUUUUACUUGGUCCUCAACCCUUACUGUACACCAGAGAAUUCAGACAGGUGAGAAACAUAGUUGAUAACAUAGUUGAAUGACAUUUCUAGUAAUAUGUUUCCUUUGGCUUUAAACAGCAAAUAAAGUGAAGAAUAUUGUUCCAUGUUCUUUUCUUUAUUUCUUAAAAUUUUUGUAGGCACAUAGUAUAUGUACAUAUUUCUGGCAUAUAUUAGUUAUUUGAAUACAGGCAUACACCAUGUAAUAAUCCAUCAGAGUAGGCCAGGCGCAGUGGCUCAUGCCUAUAAUCCCAGCACUUUGGGAGGCCAAGGCAGGCGGAUCACAAGUUCAGGAGGUCAAGACCAUCCUGGCUAACAUGGUGAAACCCCAUCUCUACUAAAAAUACAAAAAAAUAACUGGGCAUGGUGGUGAGUGCCUGUAGUCCCAGCUACUCAGGAGGCUGAGGCAGGAGAAUGGUGUGAACCCAGGAGGCAGAGCUUGCAGUGAGCCUAGAUAGCGCCACUGCACUGCACGCCAGCCUAGGCGACAGAGUGAGACUCCGUCUCCAAAAAAAGAAAAAAUCCAUCAGAGUAAAUGAGAUAUUCAUCACCUUAAGUAUUUAUUCUUUGUAUUACACAAGUCCAGUUAUACACUUUAUUUUUCAAUGUACAAUUAUUUUUUACUACAGAUCGUUUUGUGAUUGUAAUAUAUCAAAGUAUAAUUCAUAUGUUUCUGAGUCCUGAAUGAAUACUUAAAAAAAAUGUUUCAUAUUUGUCUUUGAACAUGUAGUGUCUUGUCCUGCAAACACAUACGGACUUUUCAUUUUUAUUUACAUGAAGUUAAAUAUAUAAAUGUAUUGCUCUAAAAAUAAACCGUUAGGUGUAAGAAAAUUACAGAGCAAGCAAUAGUGUUUGUGUGAGAGUUUGUACCUAUUUUCCAAAGAAAAGAUCAAUAUUGGAACAAAGAAGAUUCUUUUAUAAGGUGGAUAAUUUACUAGAAAUCUAGAAACCUAAAACAUUGUGAAAUCAAAUCUAUAUUUCUUUGGAUUUAAUUACUGUAAAAUCUAAUUGUUGAGACUCUCCCCAUGUAAAUUGUUUUCAUUUGUUACUCAUAUUACAGCUAUAAUUUACUUGUUUCUUCUUUUGUUUUUACUUUAUUAUUUACGAUGUGAGCUGGUGAGAAAUUAUAAGAAUGAUUUUUAUAAAAUUUAGUACACAAA